UACACGACCGUACCGCAAACCGACACUGGUGCGCGAGAUGAGUAUUCUAAGGCGCUUGAGAGAACUCAGGAGAAGGAACUCGGCAAAUUGACACCGUAACUUCGGAAGAAGGUGUGCCUUUAGUAGGUGAAGGGAUUUACUCCUGGAUCCCAAUGAGGUUGCAAAAAAUCGGUGGCUGCGACUGUUUAUUAAAAACACAGCACUCUGCAAACACGAAAGUGGACGUAUAGGGUGUGACGCCUGCCCGGUGCUGGAAGAUUAAAUGAUGGGGUGCAAGCUCUUGAUUGAAGUCCCAGUAAACGGCGGCCGUAACGAUAACGGUCCUAAGGUAGCGAAAUUCCUUGUCGGGUAAGUUCCGACCUGCACGAAUGGCGUAACGAUGGCCACACUGUCUCCUCCUGAGACUCAGCGAAGUUGAAAUGUUUGUGAUGAUGCAAUCUCCCCGCGGAAAGACGGAAAGACCCCAUGAACCUUUACUGUAGCUUUGUAUUGGACUUUGAACAGAUCUGUGUAGGAUAGGUGGGAGGCUUUGAAGCAGGGUCGCUAGAUCUUGUGGAGCCAACGUUGAAAUACCACCCUGGUGUGUUUGAGGUUCUAACCUAGGCCCGUAAUCCGGGUUGGGGACAGUGCAUGGUAGGCAGUUUGACUGGGGCGGUCUCCUCCCAAAGUGUAACGGAGGAGUUCGAAGGUACGCUAGUUACGGUCGGACAUCGUGACGAUAGUGCAAUGGCAUAAGCGUGCUUAACUGCGAGACUGACAAGUCGAGCAGAUGCGAAAGCAGGACAUAGUGAUCCGGUGGUUCUGUAUGGAAGGGCCAUCGCUCAACGGAUAAAAGGUACUCUGGGGAUAACAGGCUGAUACCGCCCAAGAGUUCAUAUCGACGGCGGUGUUUGGCACCUCGAUGUCGGCUCAUCUCAUCCUGGGGCUGUAGCCGGUCCCAAGGGUAUGGCUGUUCGCCAUUUAAAGAGGUACGUGAGCUGGGUUUAAAACGUCGUGAGACAGUUUGGUCCCUAUCUUCCGUGGGCGCUGCAGAUUUGAGGAAGCCUGCUCCUAGUACGAGAGGACCGGAGUGGACGCACCUCUGGUGUAUCGGUUGUCACGCCAGUGGCAUUGCCGAGUAGCUAUGUGCGGAAGAGAUAACCGCUGAAAGCAUCUAAGCGGGAAACUCGUUUCAAGAUGAGAUCUGCCGGGGCCUUGAGCCCCCUGAAGAGUCGUUCGAGACCAGGACGUUGAUAGGUCGGGUGUGGAAGCGCAGUAAUGCGUUAAACUAACCGAUACUAAUUGCUCGUGCGGCUUGACCCC
RNAcentral lists this ribosomal RNA (1302 nucleotides) under metagenome. Its description in RNAcentral is "bacterial LSU rRNA". It matches the Rfam family "Bacterial large subunit ribosomal RNA", at positions 1635 to 2925 of the family's 2925-position model. The record is from RNAcentral.